Molecule: long non-coding RNA, 2854 nt
Organism: Papaver somniferum (opium poppy)
Lineage: Eukaryota; Viridiplantae; Streptophyta; Magnoliopsida; Ranunculales; Papaveraceae
Exons: 5
Source: RefSeq, a predicted model, not a curated record
AAUAUGAGGAGAAUCAAUCAGGCAGAACCCCAACACCACCAUCAACAACAAUUGAGGCAAUCGAACAUAAACUGGUUAUUAUGUUUACAACGGCAAUCGAACAUAAACUGGUUAUUAUGUUUACAACAGAAGCAAAGCUUUGAUUUUUAACAGACGAUUUUCUCCUGGGAAGGAAUCAGAAAAUCACAGGUGAAGUCAUCGUCUCUCAUGUCAUUGUUAUUAUCCCAGUUCAGUUUUUGUAUACUUAUUAGGUUUCUUCGAAUUAAUCGUGGUGAAUUUUUAUUUUCAAUUUUGGUGUAGAAAUAGAGAUUAAGUGAGUGAUUCGUUUCUAAUAAUUUUAGAUUUGAGAAAAUUCUCUCGGUUUCUGCUCUUGGUUCUCAUAGAAUUCAAGCCAUCUUGAUUUGUUCUGAUUGCUCUGUGAUUGAUUUCUCGGUUGAUGCACGAAUUUCUCGAAAUUGUGGCCCUCAGGUUGAUCAAGCAGGUGUGAAAAUACUGGAUACUUUGAUUGUUUAUUUUGUUCAAUGUAUUUUAUUGUAUUCAUUAAAUUAUUACUGUGUUAUUUGGGAUUUUAUGGCAAGUUGAUCGAAUAAACUUUGAAAUUCUUCUUCACAAAAUAUCAAAGAUCCUUCGACAUCAAUUAGUCCUUCUCCGGAUUUCUUUUUAAUUAGUGCUGGUGGUUGUCGGAUUAAGGUAAAGAAAGAUUCUGAUUUUGUGUAUAAUUGGAGGGUGCUUGAUUAGUAAGAUGUGAAGUUUACCAUCUCAAAUAUUCAUCUCCUCUUUUUCCGGCAUGUCUGGGUAUUGAAAACUCUAAUAGUCCUUUGCAUGUCUUUGUGCUUUUGGUUUUCACAUGAUGCAGUUUCGUAUUGGUUCAAUACGAACAUAAAAUGAGCCUUUAUUCUAAUGCGUGCGUACUGUGAAUCUUUUGUUAGACAUUUUGGUUUAGCCAACCUUUGGAUCAUCAAAAUUCACACGUGACAACAAUAAAUCAGCCAGGAAGAGAUUUUUCAAGGGAUUCUCUUAUGUACUAAAAUAUUUCAAAAGGCAACGACCAAAGAUAUCGGAUGUUGUUCGAAUGCUUGAAGGUGAUGGGCUUGAAGAGAGAUAGUUCUCUAUAUUUGGCUCAAUGUGGAGGAAACAUAAGCAUGCAUCUAAGGAUUUUAUAUAAGGGAGCCAUCUUUGAAGUGUAGGGGUUUAUGUAUGUCGAUACCGUAAGAACAGUGGAGAAUUAGAACCUUAAACGCGAGGCUCAAUAUCAUAACUUAACAAUUAUCUUUUAUUUUUCAAAUCGGCAUCACAACUUAACAAUACCAAUGGUCUUAAUGCAUGUAAUCUUCUUAAUAAUUUACUAUCUGUUGAUAUUGAAGAGUUUUCAUGUAUUGGUUUAGCUCAUCAUCUCCGGGUGCUUGAUUUCGAGAAUGGUGCAUCGAGUGUUUCUUUUAACCUCUUAGAAGACUUUUUAGAGUUCAGAUGGCAGCAAUACUCUUUGCGUGAGCAGUGAAAUUAAUAAAACGUUUUGCAUAUUGGAGGUACCGCCUAUGCUAAGGAAGAAGGCAAAUGUCAGGGAAAGGGAAAGGGAAUAGCAGCGACACCAUUACAGUUGGUUCUUUGAAAAAUCUAGCCAUGAGAAUUUUCUUAUUGAUUAUGCAGGUGUGAACCCUUAUACUGGAUGCAUUGAAUUCAAGUACUUCUUUUUCUAAUAAGUAAAGCUGAUCAAUGUGUCGACUAAAUCCCAAUUGAAUUUAAUCUAACUUCUUUAGGGUGGCAGCUGCUUUGUGCUAAUAAUCAUUUUCAUAUUUUCUGUCGAAUUCGCGUUCCGUUACUUUAAGAUGCACAUGGGAAUAAAGACGAUCAGGUAUGUGAAAAGCUUCAAGGUCCGGUGUUGGGAUUGUUUAAUGCUGUUGUACAACCUCUAAGAUUAUCAAGAUGUAGGUGGUGAUGAGAAGGAGGAGGAUGUAAUGGCACCACUAACUUGGAUAUGAUCUUGAUAAGGGUAGGAAGUCGUGUUUCAAGAGGAUGUCCCAGAUAAGAUAUGGUAAGAUUUACUCUUUUGUGUAACUUUUGUUGUCUUAGAAUAGGGAGUCGUGUUUAAAGGGUAAUGACAAGUAACCAUUGAUUAACCGAGGACCCUUUUUCUAAAUAUUAAGCUACUUCAUUAUUGCUGAUAAAUAUGAAAUAACGAGAUCUGAUUUCGAGAUUGCUAGUUUUGUUUUUAGUUUGGCAUGGGAGAUUCUCUUGGUGAUUACCAUGGUGUUUUUAGUUUUGUUUGAUUCGGUGUGUUUUAUGCAUUGAUAAAUCAACAUAUUUCAUGGUUUGCCUGUCAUGAGAUUAGAAACCUUGUUGACUUUUGUCUCAAAGAAGAAACACAAUAUCUUAAGGGUAAAUAUAACAUGCAAGCACAGCAGUGGACUCCUCCACCAACUAGUCAUUUGAAAAUAACUACCAUGGAGGAGUAGAUGCAGAGCAGACAAAAUGUUUGUCCAUGAAACAUGCAAUCCUGUGGGCCAAAGAACUCAAUCUUCGGUUCAGCAACUUACUUUUUGAAGCAGACUGUAUAAAUGUUACUAGUUCCACCAGCAAAGCUAACUCUGUAGUUCACUGGAUGAACCAGAGUCAUGUAGAUGAAAUAAAGCAGCUUUUAUCGGAUUUUUCUUCCUUUAGUGUUAAUCAUGUAAAAAGAAUGGCAAAAAAUGUAGCUCAUGUAAUAGCCAACAAAGAUAGAACUUUUAAGUCUUCCUUUGAUUUUGCUAGUAAUAUUCCCAUAGAAAUAGCUGAACUAGUAAGGGAAGAAAGAAAGAUAAUUAAGAAGUCAUGUAAUAUGAUGGUUUAAUAUAUUGGUUUUUUGCAUUAAAAAAAA